UCCGAAGGGAGCUAUCGUUGCUCGGAUUUACUGGGCGUAAAGCGCGUGUAGGCGGUUUGAUAAGUUAGGCGUGAAAGCCCAGGGCUUAACCCUGGAAUUGCGCUUAAUACUGUCAAGCUAGAGUAUGGUAGAGGGUGGUGGAAUUCCCAGUGUAGAGGUGAAAUUCGUAGAUAUUGGGAGGAACACCGAUGGCGAAAGCAGCCACCUGGGCCAUAACUGACGCUAAGACGCGAAAGCGUGGGGAUAAAACAGG
RNAcentral lists this ribosomal RNA (253 nucleotides) under uncultured bacterium. Its description in RNAcentral is "partial 16S ribosomal RNA". It matches the Rfam family "Bacterial small subunit ribosomal RNA", at positions 524 to 776 of the family's 1533-position model. The record is from RNAcentral.